RNAcentral lists this ribosomal RNA (429 nucleotides) under Chloroflexota bacterium. RNAcentral's name for it is "Chloroflexi bacterium partial 16S ribosomal RNA". It matches the Rfam family "Bacterial small subunit ribosomal RNA", at positions 355 to 776 of the family's 1533-position model. The record is from RNAcentral. Lineage: Bacteria; Bacillati; Chloroflexota.
UGGGGAAUAUUGCACAAUGGGCGCAAGCCUGAUGCAGCCAUGCCGCGUGUGUGAAGAAGGCCUUCGGGUUGUAAAGCACUUUCAGCGGGGAGGAAGGCGAUAAGGUUAAUAACCUUGUCGAUUGACGUUACCCGCAGAAGAAGCACCGGCUAACUCCGUGCCAGCAGCCGCGGUAAUACGGAGGGUGCAAGCGUUAAUCGGAAUUACUGGGCGUAAAGCGCACGCAGGCGGUCUGUCAAGUCGGAUGUGAAAUCCCCGGGCUCAACCUGGGAACUGCAUUCGAAACUGGCAGGCUAGAGUCUUGUAGAGGGGGGUAGAAUUCCAGGUGUAGCGGUGAAAUGCGUAGAGAUCUGGAGGAAUACCGGUGGCGAAGGCGGCCCCCUGCACAAAGACUGACGCUCAGGUGCGAAAGCGUGGGGAGCAAACAGG